Mustela erminea (ermine) is the source of this 1305-nucleotide long non-coding RNA. RefSeq lists it as uncharacterized. The record is from RefSeq and is a predicted model, not a curated record. NCBI's taxonomy places the organism in Eukaryota, Metazoa, Chordata, Mammalia, Carnivora, Mustelidae. The transcript has 2 exons.
GGGCGGGGGGCUCAGCAGUUUCUCCUCCUUCGACACCGCGCCAGGUUUUUAUAGACUUGCCUUAAAAAGAGUUCUCUGCUCUUCUCAGGGUUAAUUUAUGGGGCUUUCGAGGAAUACUGGGACUUUUAAGAUGCUCUUCAUUUUCCCCCCAUUAUUUUUGUUGUUGUUACACUCCUAAAGGCACUCCCGCGUUUCAGCACCUCACAGGACAAGGGUGGGGGUGGAAGAAAGAGCAGGGCCGGGAGGCGAAGGGAGGAUUUGUCUCCUAAUCAAACCGCCCACAUGGCUCAGGUUGCCCAACAUCGUUUUUAAAAUUAAAUUUCUAGCCAAGUUAAGGGCAGUAAAACUCAGAUUUAGGAACUGGGAGGAAAUUGAGACACAGGUGGGCCACAUACACCUUUUCCCAGGUCUCCACCAAUUUGAAUUCUCUAUUAGGGGAAUGAAGAGUUUGAGGACUUAAGGGUUUUAAAAGUCUAAAAACCGGGGACAGGCGAGAGAAAGGAUUAGAGCAACAGAUUGAUUGAUUGCCUCGAAAUAGAGUUCUAUUCCAGCCAGCAAACUAGGCCGAGGUCCGCCUCCUGGAGCCAGCUCUCCCAAGUCACUCUUGGACCUGCAGGAGAGGCAAAUCCUCCCAGCAGGUCUCAUUAGUGUUUCCAGCCCCCAUCCCCAAAUCCCCUCUCCCAGUCCCCUCCCUCCCCUCCCCUGCCGCCCCUCCCCCCAUACCAGGCGGAGCUCGGGGAGGCCCGGACCGCUGGGCUCCGCGGCUCCAGAAGCCAAAGUCCGCCCGUGGGGACCGUUUUCCUCUCCACUGCUCUCAAGUGAACAACAAGGACGGAGGUGACCCUCGGCCAAAGGACUUUUAUCUGCCCCCCACUGCCGCGUGAUCCCUCCGUAGGUUAGAGGCAGAGCUUAAAAAAGAAAGAAAGAAAGAAAGUUAAUGUGCAUUGAGCACUGAUCUUAAAUCGGGGACAUUAUCUGCGAUCUCUUUAAGUGGCAGCGGCAGUCCCAUGCAGAACAAAGACUCAGUGUUUGAGCCUCAAAAGCUUAUAGGUAAAGUUUCAGCCAGAUAAAAGUAACCUAAGCGCAAAAACACAGGUUUUCUCGGCUCCAGAAAACUGCUGGCUUCUUUUCGCUCCCUACUCCCCAGGGUGUGUUUGUCCUCGCCCACUGGGGGGAGGAGGGUGACCAGAAUAGCAAAGGACCUCAGAAUUUACCCUUCAUACCCCCUCCCCCAGCGCCUCGGUAAUGAAUUCCUUCGGACUAAGUCGUAUUUGCUACAAUUUGUUACGAAAUCAAAUUUCACAU